This 527-nucleotide long non-coding RNA is filed under the name Scleropages formosus (Asian bonytongue). RNAcentral's name for it is "lncRNA (ENSSFOG00015025394.1)". The record is from RNAcentral. Lineage: Eukaryota; Metazoa; Chordata; Actinopteri; Osteoglossiformes; Osteoglossidae.
AGCCAGGGAAAGUGUGGCCCACCGUGGUGUCCUGCAGGUCGCAGUGCUCUGGUCAGCCAGGUCUCCUCGAGUGUGUCUGGGACGAGUGGAGGGAGACUACAUCUAGUGGGUCCAGAGACUGUGAAAAGACAUCCAUCUGUGAAUGUUCCAGGAUACCAGACAAACGCAUCUGACUGGGUGAUCUGGACUCCAGCAAAUGUAUCCAAGAAUAAGAGAGAACCCUCUGUCUAGAUCUCCCACCUUAUAUCAGCCACCAUCUUCAGACUGGAAUCAGCAACAAGGUAAAAGUACAUAUAAUUAAAAAUGUGUUUUACCCCUAUCCAGGAAAUCUGCACUCGAGCCACUCAUUCAGAACAUUAGAAAUGACUUGUAUUUAUGAUAAUGCAAUUGAUUACACUGUACACCGAUUGUUGUGCACAUGGCUUGCAGCAUGAUUCAAAAAGCCACAUUUACUGAAUAUACAAAACUUUGUUAAUAAUUUACAACAGAACAGUGAGUUGCACAUGUUAACAGUGGAAAACUUAGGG